This 220-nucleotide ribosomal RNA is filed under the name uncultured Methanosaeta sp. Its description in RNAcentral is "partial 16S ribosomal RNA". It matches the Rfam family "Archaeal small subunit ribosomal RNA", at positions 1120 to 1338 of the family's 1478-position model. The record is from RNAcentral. Lineage: Archaea; Methanobacteriati; Methanobacteriota; Methanomicrobia; Methanotrichales; Methanotrichaceae.
CGGAGGAAGGGAAUAGGGCAACGGUAGGUCAGUAUGCCCCGAAUAUCCCGGGCUACACGCGAGCUACAAUGGUUGGUACAAUGGGUAUCUACCCCGAAAGGGGACGGGAAUCUCCUAAACCAAUCUUAGUUCGGAUUGAGGGCUGCAACUCGCCCUCAUGAAGCUGGAAUCCGUAGUAAUCGCGUUUCAACAGAACGCGGUGAAUACGUCCCUGCUCCUU